GAUCGUUGGAAGUGAGAAUUUUGACUUUUGCUCUAGACCAAACGUUUGAAGUGUGAUAGCUGAAUGUUCGAGUUAAAUCCUAAUGUCGAACGUUCAACGUAAGAGGCUUGAACGAUCGAAUGAGAACUUAUCAUUUGAUGGCGUAGUCCGAACGUUCAAUCGUAUGUCAGAUAGUGCAAAAACAGAUGAACGACCGUAUGUCAGGAAAGUACAGACCAUGAAUGCAACAUAUGUCCAAAAAGUACAUCUAAUGUUCGACACAUCGAGCUAACGUUCGAGAAUAGUACACCGAACAUUCGACUGCACACAUGCCUGCAAAAUUAGCUCAUCCUUAUCCUCAGCUCUUUGUCCCCUAUAAAUACGCCUCCCAUAACCCUUUAAGCCCAAAUUCGAUCUUUUUUAGUUCCAAAGCCUUAGUAAGAGUGAGAGAGUGAUUUGGAGAAAGAGAAAGCGCUCUCUUAGUUUUUAUUCUUCAAAUGAGGUCCCUCGGAGUCUCGGACAACGCCAUCCCCCCAGGAAGGGCUUAAUUUCCUCGGUUGGACUACCUUUAGAUGUUGAAUUUGAGAUGGACCUUGAAGCAGAUGCGGCGGUUUAAUAUAGUGAUAUCAAUCCGGUUAAUGCUUGAGGACUGAUUGCAGGAUUUUGAAGGCCACUCAUGGUAAUUAGUAAUUUUGGGUGAUGUCGUAGGCUUAGUCUUUGGGGCCUGAUUGUAUAUUAAGG
Molecule: long non-coding RNA, 720 nt
Organism: Alnus glutinosa
Lineage: Eukaryota; Viridiplantae; Streptophyta; Magnoliopsida; Fagales; Betulaceae
Exons: 3
Source: RefSeq, a predicted model, not a curated record